CGAGAAUCAUUCGCAAUGGGCGAAAGCCUGACGAUGCGACGCCGUGUGAGCGAAGAAGGCCUUAGGGUCGUAAAGCUCUUUCGCCCGGGAGCAAGAGAGGUUGACGAAUAAUCAACUUAUUUGAGAGUACCGGGUAAAGAAGCACCGGCUAACUCCGUGCCAGCAGCUGCGGUAAUACGGAGGGUGCAAGCAUUAAUCGGAUUUAUUGGGCGUAAAGGGCGCGUAGGCGGUUAGAUAAGUCAGAUGUGAAAUCCUGGGGCUCAACCUCAGAACUGCAUUUGAAACUAUCUUUCUAGAGGGUAGGAGGAGAAAACGGAAUUCCACAAGUAGCGGUGAAAUGCGUAGAUAUGUGGAAGAACACCGGUGGCGAAGGCGGUUUUCUAUCUUACUCCUGACGCUGAGGCGCGAAAGCAAGGGGAUCAAAC
RNAcentral lists this ribosomal RNA (425 nucleotides) under uncultured bacterium. Its description in RNAcentral is "bacterial SSU rRNA". It matches the Rfam family "Bacterial small subunit ribosomal RNA", at positions 356 to 773 of the family's 1533-position model. The record is from RNAcentral.